GAGCUAUCAAUCUGUCAAUCCUUCCAGUGUCCGGGCCUGGUGAGAUUUCCCGUGUUGAGUCAAAUUAAGCCACAGGCUCCACUCCUGGUGGUGCCCUUCCGUCAAUUCCUUUAAGUUUCAGCUUUGCAACCAUACUUCCCCUGGAACCCAAAUGCUUUGGUUUCCCGGAAGCUUCCUGCCCAGUCUACAGUAAAAACGCAGGCAGAUCGCUAGCUGGCAUCGUUUAUGGUUAGAACUAGGGCGGUAUCUGAUCGCCUUCGAACCUCUAACUUUCGUUCUUGAUUAAUGAAAACACUCUUGGCAAAUGCUUUCGCAGUAGUUAGUCUUCAAACGGUCCAAGAAUUUCACCUCUGUCGUUUGAAUACUAAUGCCCCCAAUUGUCCCUAUUAAUCAUUAACUCGAUUCCCGAAAACCAACAAAAUAGGAACGAGUUCCUAUUCCAUUAUUCCAUGCACGAAUAUUCAAGCCUGAAAAGCCUGCUUUGAGCACUCUAAUUUUUUCAAAGUAAACCUGACGGCGCACCGGGACACUCAACGAAGAGCACCCCGGAACCUCCGCCAAUCACACAGCCAAAUGGGGCAGUCACGCUUUGGAGCGAACCGCCCCCUGGCUGCCGAGAUCCAACUACGAGCUUUUUAACCGCAACAACUUUAAUAUACGCUAUUGGAGCUGGAAU
RNAcentral lists this ribosomal RNA (676 nucleotides) under uncultured metazoan. Its description in RNAcentral is "partial 18S ribosomal RNA". The record is from RNAcentral. Lineage: Eukaryota; Metazoa.